Molecule: long non-coding RNA, 2529 nt
Organism: Eriocheir sinensis (Chinese mitten crab)
Lineage: Eukaryota; Metazoa; Arthropoda; Malacostraca; Decapoda; Varunidae
Exons: 3
Source: RefSeq, a predicted model, not a curated record
UGGCAUGGUUUACCUGGUGACAGGUAGCAUCAUUUUUUAUACCUACUUUUCCCUGUUGGUGUCCCUCAGACGUGUAAAAGAGAGUACUGCAGAAAAGCCUUGAAGAACUGCAGACUUGACCCUCUGAACCCUCCUUUUUGUCUCCCUUUCAUUGCAAGAUAUAUAGUGUUUCUUGUAUCGUUUUUUUCCAUUCCUCUGACAGUACUUCAACCAUUUUUACAGUUGGUUCCUGUGGUGGGUCACUGUUUCUUUCCUGCACUUUUCUGAGUUGUUUAUAGAUAUUUUCUGUCCUAAAGUUCACUCAUGAAAUCUCUCCUGCAGCAGAGUGUGAACUUGAAUUUUUUUAAACAUUUUCUUACAUAGUACUUUCCAGUAAUAAGAGAGAAAUCAAGUCCAAAAGAGUAACAUUGCCACCAGAGGAUCAAUAAAAUGUUCUUGUUCUUACAUAGAAGUGCAUUAGUGGUUAGUGAACUUAAUACAAUUACUAUUGGAAUAUUUGUUUGAGACUGCUUUCAGUGUGACCAGUGAAAAAUAGUUUUGCAAAAAACUGUUGCUAAUCAUGGGAAUAAGUCUUCUGCUAUACACAGACCUUAUAACAGUUAAAAUUCAAGAAAUUCUUAUAAGGAAUGUUGCCAACCCUAAGUAUGAAUUACAUUGAUCUCCAUAGUCUGCCGUAACUCAUGUAAGAUAUAUAAGGACAAAAAUGAAGUGAUGUUGGAAUGCUGUAGUCUUCUGAGGUUGUGUGAUUGAGAGGAACUUGCACAGAUAUGGUGUAGUGUUAUUAAAAAAAAAUGGAGAGGUGUGACAAAAAAAAUAAAGGUAGGAUAUGAAAAUUGAUUAUCAUAGUGAGUUUUUCAUGGGGUAGAAGCAGUGUGUGAAAGGUCUGGUCUGGUUGAAAUAGUAAAAAACUGGAUUAUGGAGUGGUCAAAUGGGUGAAGCAUCUUGCUUUGAUAGUUUAGACACAUGAUAAGAAUGAUUUAGAAUGAUUGUGGAUUGUGACGGUAUCAGGAGUAGGUUACCAGUGAAAUGGAUUAAGUGGACAUGUAUUAAAGAGAAAGUUGAUAGGUGAGGGACUGAGUGUGCUGAGAGAGUGCUGGAACAUGGAAAGUUGGAGACAUUUGUGCCCUGGUCACACCCCUGAAGAAAGUUCCUGUGAGGGAACUUGGGUGUAGGAGAUAUAGAUGGAUAUAUAGAAGAGGGAAAUGUGUAAUUAUUUAUUGAUGAGAGUGUGGGACCUGUGAUUUUUUCACUUGUGUUUGGCUUGGCUUAUAGUUGCACUGAGCCUAGAAUAAUGCAAUGCAGCAAACUGAGCCAUGUCACUGUUUCACAUGUUAGGUGUAGCAAUCGUCACUGGGGCUGAUGUGGUGCUUUUGUGAUGCUUAUAGUUUUCUUUUUGUUUGUUACUUUAAACAGUGAUCAAGAUAUAUAGUAAGGCUGGGCAUGUCAGAUUGAGAAUUGAUACCCUUUAUUUUAUCAGUCUACAUGUUAUAAAUUUUCCAAUGCUGGGAUUCUUAUUUUUCAUGAGUUUUAAUUUCAGCUAGCAAAUUAAACUUUCUUUUUUAUUUUAUUUAUUAUUUUUUUUAAGGCAUGUAUAGACAUCAAACAAGAAUAAGUGAUAAGAAAACUCAGUCAUUACGUAUAUUUUGGCUUGAUAUGAGUUGAUGUAAAGUGGUGAAUCCAUUUUUAAGCUGAUUAUAAUGAACCUAAGGCCUUGUUCACACCAUGGGGACAGUCAUGCCCAAGUUGGUCAUAGUCUCAGUGUAUUCACACACCUAGUCAAGGGAUGUUCUUGCUACAAUCACAGUGAGUAUAUUCACACCCCCAGUCAAAGGAUGUUCUUGCUAUGGUCACAAUCUGAGUAUAUCCACACACCCAGUCAAGGGGCAUUCUUGCUACAGUCACAAUCUGAGUAUAUUCACACACCCAGUCAAGGGAUGUUCUUGCUAUGGUCACAAUCUGAGUAUAUCCACACACCCAGUCAAGGGAGGUUCUUGCUACAGUCAAAAUCUGAGAAUAUCCACACACCCAGUCAAGGGAUGUUCUUGCUAUGGUCACAAUCUGAGUAUAUCCACACACCCAGUCAAGGGAGGUUCUUGCUAUAGACAAAAUCUGAGUAUAUCCACACACCCAGUCAAGGGAGGUUCUUGCUACAGUCAAAAUCUGAGUAUAUCCACACACCCAGUCAAGGGAUGUUCUUGCUAUGGUCACAUUCUGAGUAUAUUCACACACCCAGUCAAGGGAUGUUCUUGCUACAGUCAAAAUCUGAGUAUAUCCACACACCCAGUCAAGGGAUGUUCUUGCUACAGUCAAAAUCUGAGUAUAUCCACACACCCAGUCAAGGGAUGUUCUUGCUACAGUCAAAAUCUGAGUAUAUCCACACACCCAGUCAAGGGAUGUUCUUGCCAUGGUCAAAAUCUGAGUAUAUCCACACACCCAGUCAAGGGAUGUUCUUGCUACAGUCAAAAUCUGAGUAUAUCCACACACCCAGUCAAGGGAUGUUCUUGCUACAGUCAAAAUCUGAGUAUAUCC